UGCCGUUUUGAGUGUGUUUGUGUGGCAUGGGGGUUGGGGUUGGGAAAUAUAUAGCAUUUGCCAUCUGCUAGAGGAGCAAAGAUUUGCAGAGUGGAAAAGAGGAGGUGCGAGGAGGUAGAACUGCAGAAACUUGCUUCCCCAGAAGUUCAUGUAUAGGAAAGCCAAGUUAAUGCCACAUAUUUGGAAAAGGUGAUCCCCUAUGUAUAGUUUUCUCUGAUAGGUUUUUUAAAAACCCAGACAAAGUGGAAAUGUCUGACUAUGAAAACUUGGUGAUCUCUACAAUAUAAGGAUUUCACUUCCCUUUGAGGAGGAAGGGAAUGAUUUUAUAACCUCAGACUUCUCUGACUUAACAAAUAGGGACUUAGUAUCAAAUAUGUCUGGUAAAUGCUGAUGUUCUACCUCUCUAAUGCCCAUAGGAAUAUGGAAAGAGAAAUUCUGCUGUGAGAAAUUCAUAGAACUACCUGGCAGAAAAGGAAGGGUGAUAUUGCCUCCCAGGGAACAUUUGGCAACGUCUGAAGAUAUUUUUCACUGUCACAACCGAGGGGGUAUGCUAUUGGCAUCCAGUAGGUAGAGGUCAAGGAUGCUGAUAAGCAUCUACAAUGUCCCAAACAGUCCCUACAACAAAAAAUUAUCUGGCCCCAAAUAUGAAUAGUGCCAAGGUUGGGAAACCCUUCUUCAUACCUAUUCACAAUCCAUGGAACACUUUAUGUACUGCUGUCUUAGUCCCUAAUCAGAAAUUAUCAGGUAAAAUGCUCACUAGAAUUAAUCCUACUUCCAGAAGAGUUCUCAAAAGAGAAACCUAUAUACUCAACUCUGAUGCUCAAGUCUGACCAAUCCCUAGAUACUGCUGACCUAUUCAUAUAUUCAUAUUCUAUCACUGAUAUGGGAAGCUCUGUUUGAAACAUAAACUUAAAAAGGAAUCUCUAUAUAUGAACUAUCAGUGCUAUCAGACAAUGCUAACAUUAUGAACAUGAUGAGGAUAUAACCCUUGUUUUCUUAGAAAUGCCCACCCACAUUUAUGCUGUUUUUAGUUUAUUACUCUUGUCAAAGUUGCCAUGCAGAAUGUCUGUUGGUCAGUUGGGCACAUCUGCACACAUUUACAAUAUCUGCCACCUCUUUUAACCCUCAACCCCGCCCCACAAAAUGAGUGAUGGUGCUUGUUGAUUUGCAGAUUCACAGUCUGGUGAGACAAGUUUGAGAUCUCAUAUUUUCAGCUCAUCCUUGAAAACCUUUCUUCGAUUUGACUGACCUUGAUGGCUCCCUGGAAUCUCACCUACAUUUUAUGGGAAAUUCAACUCUCCAGAGAGAAGAGCUUUCAGAUAGCUGCGGGACUUGCAACUGUGACUUUCAGCUUUCGCUUUUGAAUGAGGCUCCAAAUGUCUCAAUGGUGGCACUAUUUCCAGAUUUGGGACAUUAAGUUUUGCAAAAUUAAAUGACUACAUUUACAGUCAUGGAGGAGAGACAUUGCCUCAACUCGGUUUCUUCUGAUGUGUCUUUGAAACAGAGCCCUGCAAAGCUAAUCUGCUCAACCUUCACCUACUGGGUUCAAUGAAUAUGAAAAGCUGCCUUCCUGAAACUUUUCCUUCAAAGAGGGAAUGAUCUCCUGGAAUUCAAGCUUCUACAAGGUGGCUACCUGGUGUUUUCCACUUUUGCCGUCUCCUAAAAAGCAUCAUUCAAGCCUUGCCCUUUCAACCCACUGAACACAUAAACAUGCUUUCUCCUUAACUGAACUUAUGGCCACGAUGAACUUGAACUCUGAGAUUCACAGAGGAGAGUUUGUUUUAACAGCUGCUUUUACAAUGAAGCCCUGGAGUUACUACUCUCAAGACCCCUGGUUCUGAUAGGCCAUCUUUUCACUGUCCUCUGCAUUUUCUAAUGCCCAGCUGUCAAGGAACACCCACUGAAGUUUUCCAAAACAAAGGCACGAAACACAAGAAAGGCAAGAGAAUGCUAAUCACCAGAUGCAUGGGCAUCCUAUGGGGGAACCCCUUACAUGUGGAAUACGGUUUUUCUCCCCA
Molecule: long non-coding RNA, 2018 nt
Filed under: Homo sapiens (human)
Lineage: Eukaryota; Metazoa; Chordata; Mammalia; Primates; Hominidae
Description: non-protein coding ADAMTS9-AS1:24
Source: RNAcentral